AGGCCUUGACAUACUAAGAACUUUCCAGAGAUGGAUUGGUGCCUUCGGGAACUUAGAUACAGGUGCUGCAUGGCUGUCGUCAGCUCGUGUCGUGAGAUGUUGGGUUAAGUCCGCAACGAUCGCAACCUUUCCUAUUUGCCAGCGGGUAAUGCCGGGAACUUUAAGGAUACUGCCAGUGACAAACUGGAGGAAGGCGGGGACGACGUCAAGUCAUCAUGGCCCUUACGGCCAGGGCUACACACGUGCUACAAUGGUCGGUACAAAGGGUUGCUACCUCGCGAGAGGAUGCUAAUCUCAAAAAGCCGAUCGUAGUCCGGAUCGCAGUCUGCAACUCGACUGCGUGAAGUCGGAAUCGCUAGUAAUCGCGGAUCAGAAUGCCGCGGUGAAUACGUUCCCGGGCCUUGUACACACCGCCCGUCACACCAUGGGAGUUUGUUGCACCAGAAGUAGGUAGUCUAACCGCAAGGAGGACGCUUACCACGGUGUGGCCGAUGACUGGGGUGAAGUCGUAACAAGGUAAGCGUAGAUGA
RNAcentral lists this ribosomal RNA (530 nucleotides) under uncultured bacterium. RNAcentral's name for it is "bacterial SSU rRNA". It matches the Rfam family "Bacterial small subunit ribosomal RNA", at positions 976 to 1509 of the family's 1533-position model. The record is from RNAcentral.